RNAcentral lists this ribosomal RNA (253 nucleotides) under uncultured bacterium. Its description in RNAcentral is "partial 16S ribosomal RNA". It matches the Rfam family "Bacterial small subunit ribosomal RNA", at positions 524 to 776 of the family's 1533-position model. The record is from RNAcentral.
UACGUAGGGUGCAAGCGUUAAUCGGAAUUACUGGGCGUAAAGCGUGCGCAGGCGGCUUUGCAAGACAGAUGUGAAAUCCCCGGGCUUAACCUGGGAACUGCAUUUGUGACUGCAUGGCUGGAGUGCGGCAGAGGGGGAUGGAAUUCCGCGUGUAGCAGUGAAAUGCGUAGAUAUGUGGAGGAAUACCGAUGGCGAAGGCAGCCUCCUGGGCCAACACUGACGCUCAUGCACGAAAGCGUGGGGAGCAAACAGG